This 253-nucleotide ribosomal RNA is filed under the name uncultured bacterium. Its description in RNAcentral is "partial 16S ribosomal RNA". It matches the Rfam family "Bacterial small subunit ribosomal RNA", at positions 524 to 776 of the family's 1533-position model. The record is from RNAcentral.
UACGUAGGGUGCAAGCGUUGUCCGGAAUUAUUGGGCGUAAAGAGCUCGUAGGCGGUCUGUCGCGUCUGCUGUGAAAACUCAGGGCUUAACCCUGAGCUUGCAGUGGGUACGGGCAGACUAGAGUGCGGUAGGGGAGACUGGAAUUCCUGGUGUGGCGGCGAAAUGCGCAGAUAUCAGGAGGAACACCGGUGGCGAAGGCGGGUCUCUGGGCCGUAACUGACGCUGAGGAGCGAAAGCAUGGGGAGCGAACAGG